UGUUAAAAGUUUCAUCCAUUUAUGCUGUUAAAAACUGAUGUGAUUGAUAGAAUAAUUAGACACUGACAUGGUGUGCCAUGUGUAUCUCAUAUUGAUGUACAAAAUCUAGUUUUUAACCGUAAAAAUGGAUGGAAAUUUUAACA
MicroRNA precursor from Gossypium arboreum, 143 nucleotides. It matches the Rfam family "MIR7502 microRNA precursor family". NCBI's taxonomy places the organism in Eukaryota, Viridiplantae, Streptophyta, Magnoliopsida, Malvales, Malvaceae. The record is from Rfam.